Molecule: ribosomal RNA, 253 nt
Filed under: uncultured bacterium
Lineage: Bacteria
Also listed under: 1 other name
Description: partial 16S ribosomal RNA
Rfam family: Bacterial small subunit ribosomal RNA
Source: RNAcentral
UACGUAGGUUGCAAGCGUUGUCCGGAAUUACUGGGUGUAAAGGGCGUGUAGGCGGAGAUGCAAGUUGGGAGUGAAAUCCCGGGGCUCAACCCCGGAACUGCUUUCAAAACUGUAUCCCUUGAGUGUCGGAGAGGCAAGCGGAAUUCCUAGUGUAGCGGUGAAAUGCGUAGAUAUUAGGAGGAACACCAGUGGCGAAGGCGGCUUGCUGGACGAUAACUGACGCUGAGGCGCGAAAGCGUGGGGAGCAAACAGG